Molecule: ribosomal RNA, 492 nt
Filed under: uncultured bacterium
Lineage: Bacteria
Description: partial 16S ribosomal RNA
Rfam family: Bacterial small subunit ribosomal RNA
Source: RNAcentral
AGUGAACGCUGGCGGUAGGCCUAACACAUGCAAGUCGAACGGCAGCACAGUAAGAGCUUGCUCUUACGGGUGGCGAGUGGCGGACGGGUGAGGAAUACAUCGGGAUCUACUUUUUCGUGGGGGAUAACGUAGGGAAACUUACGCUAAUACCGCAUACGACCUACGGGUGAAAGCAGGGGAUCUUCGGACCUUGCGCGAUUGGAUGAGCCGAUGUCGGAUUAGCUAGUUGGCGGGGUAAAGGCCCACCAAGGCGACGAUCCGUAGCUGGUCUGAGAGGAUGAUCAGCCACACUGGAACUGAGACACGGUCCAGACUCCUACGGGAGGCAGCAGUGGGGAAUAUUGGACAAUGGGCGCAAGCCUGAUCCAGCCAUACCGCGUGGGUGAAGAAGGCCUUCGGGUUGUAAAGCCCUUUUGUUGGGAAAGAAAAGCAGCAGGUUAAUACCCCGCUGUUCUGACGGUACCCAAAGAAUAAGCACCGGCUAACUUCGUG